GUUCGUUCGGAAUGGCGUGGAGAUGCUGUUUGAACUGAAUUAGAAAACCCAAACAGAAAGCAAUGGAUUUAGAUAGAAAAAAGCUGCUACUUGCUAAUUACAGGCCCCAGCACAUGCACAGUCAUCUCCCGGAUCCAAGGCACACAGGCAUGAAAUACACUGAAUCUGGGCUACAAUAGUCUGUCUAGCACUUGAUGAAGAGUAAAGGCUACAAUCUGUUAAAGAGUUACUUCCUAUAGUACAUGGUUUGAUUCCCUCAGCUUUCAUCUGUCUUCUAUGUGACUCUGCCAAGUUACUUCAUCAAGCAAUCAUUGGAAAAUUAGAUGUUUUUACUGCAGAACCUAUAACGCUUGCAAUAAAUUCAUUUCAAAUAUCCAAAUCAAAAACAUAUAUUGUUGACUAGAAAAGGGAAAUUUCAUGACUCCCUGAUUUGGUUUAUAAAUCAGAAGCUGGAGCAAUGGAUAUAAUUUUUGUUGAUAUGAUUUGCUACAACAAGAAAAUCUUGAAUUGCACUCUAUGGUUGAAGAUCUUCAAAAUAAGGUCUUGGAUUUAGAAUACAUAUCCAGAAAGUUGAACAGGAGAGUAAUUAGGGUGCCAGAAUACCUGGCUAAAUCUCAAUCAUUAAAGACUACAUUACCACAAUUUUUUCAAACUCUGAGCACUGAAACAUGGAUAAAAUAGUUCAGUUACUAAUUUGGAUUUGGUUCAUAAUGUUAGCCCACCCAAAGCUGGUUAUAAUAGGCUUGUUAUAAUACAUUUUACUGUAUGACUGAUUGUAAUGUUCUUUUUUCUGCAGCUUUAAACAAGAUGAAUUUCAUCUUUAAUCAGAUUCCUAUUAAUUGCUUUCAAGACUUGUAUCAAAAGUCAUGAUGACGAGAAGAGAUUUUAAUGAAGUUAGGAAUGCUCUUUGGCAAAAGGGAAUAUACUCUAGAUUUAUUUUUACAUCUUUUCUUCAAAUUUGAUAUAAAGAUUUAUCUCAGAAAAUGUCUACUUCAGAGGAGGCUUGGAAAUAACUUUGUGCUAUUAAUAUACUGCUGCAGCAAUGCCAGGGAAUUCAACAAGAUGACUCUUCAAUCAAUUAAUGGACUUUUUUUGAGGGGGUACAUCUCUAAGCUGUCUGAUGUUUAAACAUGAAAUUAGUCUCAUUAAAUGUUACUUGGUUAAUAUCUCUGUUAAAAGGGAAUUAAUUCAAAUUUUCGAAGGAUAUUAAAUCAGAUAUUAAUUGUUUAUAAGAAAUCCAUCUUGCUCAAAGUAAAUUUACUGCUUUUAUUAAUUCUUCUGAUAAUA
This is a long non-coding RNA of Protopterus annectens (West African lungfish), 1287 nucleotides long. RefSeq lists it as uncharacterized. NCBI's taxonomy places the organism in Eukaryota, Metazoa, Chordata, Ceratodontiformes, Protopteridae. The record is from RefSeq and is a predicted model, not a curated record. The transcript has 3 exons.